AACGUAGGAGACAAACGUUAUCCGGAGUUACUGGGCGUAAAGCGCGCGCAGGUGGCGCGUCAAGUCUGGUGUGAAAGCCUCCGGCUCAACCGGAGGAGGCCACUGGAGACUGGCGUGCUCGAGGUGGGUAGGGGUCGGUGGAAUUCCCGGUGUAGUGGUGAAAUGCGUAGAUAUCGGGAGGAACACCAGUGGCGAAAGCGGCCGACUGGGCCCAACCUGACGCUGAGGCGCGAAAGCGUGGGGAGCGAACCGG
Molecule: ribosomal RNA, 253 nt
Filed under: uncultured bacterium
Lineage: Bacteria
Description: partial 16S ribosomal RNA
Rfam family: Bacterial small subunit ribosomal RNA
Source: RNAcentral